RNAcentral lists this ribosomal RNA (833 nucleotides) under Pseudomonas sp. MOLA 421. Its description in RNAcentral is "bacterial SSU rRNA". It matches the Rfam family "Bacterial small subunit ribosomal RNA", at positions 1 to 831 of the family's 1533-position model. Lineage: Bacteria; Pseudomonadati; Pseudomonadota; Gammaproteobacteria; Pseudomonadales; Pseudomonadaceae. The record is from RNAcentral.
CUAGAGUUUGGAAUCAUGGCUCAGAUUGAACGCUGGCGGCAGGCCUAACACAUGCAAGUCGAGCGGAUGAAGGGAGCUUGCUCCUGGAUUCAGCGGCGGACGGGUGAGUAAUGCCUAGGAAUCUGCCUGGUAGUGGGGGAUAACGUCCGGAAACGGGCGCUAAUACCGCAUACGUCCUGAGGGAGAAAGUGGGGGAUCUUCGGACCUCACGCUAUCAGAUGAGCCUAGGUCGGAUUAGCUAGUUGGUGGGGUAAAGGCCUACCAAGGCGACGAUCCGUAACUGGUCUGAGAGGAUGAUCAGUCACACUGGAACUGAGACACGGUCCAGACUCCUACGGGAGGCAGCAGUGGGGAAUAUUGGACAAUGGGCGAAAGCCUGAUCCAGCCAUGCCGCGUGUGUGAAGAAGGUCUUCGGAUUGUAAAGCACUUUAAGUUGGGAGGAAGGGCAGUAAGUUAAUACCUUGCUGUUUUGACGUUACCAACAGAAUAAGCACCGGCUAACUUCGUGCCAGCAGCCGCGGUAAUACGAAGGGUGCAAGCGUUAAUCGGAAUUACUGGGCGUAAAGCGCGCGUAGGUGGUUCAGCAAGUUGGAUGUGAAAUCCCCGGGCUCAACCUGGGAACUGCAUCCAAAACUACUGAGCUAGAGUACGGUAGAGGGUGGUGGAAUUUCCUGUGUAGCGGUGAAAUGCGUAGAUAUAGGAAGGAACACCAGUGGCGAAGGCGACCACCUGGACUGAUACUGACACUGAGGUGCGAAAGCGUGGGGAGCAAACAGGAUUAGAUACCCUGGUAUGUCCACGCCGUAAACGAUGUCGACUAGCCGUUGGGAUCC